CCAGCUCACAGCAGAUAUCGAUGGCAGCAGUCUUUUUGGGUGCCCUCCUCUUUCUGAGGGGAAUUCUUGCCAAUCCAAAGUGCUCUGUUUCAGUGUAUCAGAAUAAUUCUGUUGCAUAUAUCAUCUCAGAGCCAAGCAGACCUGGCUGUACACGUGAAUGGACCUCAGCUGACACCAUGCUGGUUGAUAUGAAGGGGAAUUUUUUCCAUGAAGUCAUUUUGCACGUCGAACCACAAAGGAUUGUCACUGUAAACUGUCAGCAUAACAUCACAUAUCAUGAGGAAUGUUUAGCA
Molecule: long non-coding RNA, 293 nt
Organism: Danio aesculapii
Lineage: Eukaryota; Metazoa; Chordata; Actinopteri; Cypriniformes; Danionidae
Exons: 3
Source: RefSeq, a predicted model, not a curated record